This 253-nucleotide ribosomal RNA is filed under the name uncultured bacterium. Its description in RNAcentral is "partial 16S ribosomal RNA". It matches the Rfam family "Bacterial small subunit ribosomal RNA", at positions 524 to 776 of the family's 1533-position model. The record is from RNAcentral.
UACGUAGGAUCCAAGCGUUGUCCGGAUUUACUGGGUGUAAAGGGUGCGCAGGCGGACUUGUUAGUCAGAGGUGAAAUCUCACAGCUUAACUGUGAAACUGCCUUUGAUACUGCAAGUCUUGAAUCCAGAAGAGAGUUGUGGAAUUCCGAGUGUAGCAGUGAAAUGUGUAGAUAUUCGGAAGAACACCAGUGGCGAAGGCAGCAACUUGGUCUGGUAUUGACGCUCAGGCACGAAAGCAUGGGGAUCAAACAGG